UCAGUGUAUCAAAGGGACACCUGCACCCCCAUGCUUAUUGCAGCAAUAUUCACAAUAGCCUUGUAGUUUUAGCGCUUAGAGGCAUUUAAACGGCCUCUCCCCUCCAGACUACUUCACUGUAGUUUAUCCCUGACCCUCCACAAUGUGAUUACCAACCGCUAGGAUGAGUUGCAUCUUAUUAUAAAGUAGCAAAUUACAAGAUUGUAACAUUAGACUUUUUAAGAAAAUCCAGUUCAGCUUUUAUACUAAUCCAUCUUAAUUUCUAGGUUACUCAGAAUUCCAGGUAUUCUGAUUUGGACUCACAUCUCGUAUUGUAUUGCCUGUAUUUUAACUGGGAAGUUACUGCCAACAGCAUCUCUCUCUAUUAAAUGUAGAGGAAUUGACAAAAGAGGGGAAAGAAAAGUUGUUAGGUAAUAGAACUGCUUCAGAAAUAGGGCUAUUCAUGUUUAAAGUGUUUCUCCUUCGUUUUUCAGGGCAUCUCAUUGGGAGAUAUUCCUCUUCCAGGCAGUAUCAGUGAUGGCAUGAAUUCUUCAGCACAUUAUCAUGUAAACUUCAGCCAGGCUAUAAGUCAGGAUGUGAAUCUUCAUGAGGCCAUCUUGCUUUGUCCCAACAAUACAUUUAGAAGAGAUCCAACAGCAAGGACUUCACAGUCACAAGAACCAUUUCUGCAGUUAAAUUCUCAUACCACCAAUCCUGAGCAAACCCUUCCUGGAACUAAUUUGACAGGAUUUCUUUCACCGGUUGACAAUCAUAUGAGGAAUCUAACAAGCCAAGACCUACUGUAUGACCUUGACAUAAAUAUAUUUGAUGAGAUAAACUUAAUGUCAUUGGCCACAGAAGACAACUUUGAUCCAAUCGAUGUUUCUCAGCUUUUUGAUGAACCAGAUUCUGAUUCUGGCCUUUCUUUAGAUUCAAGUCACAAUAGUACCUCUGUCAUCAAGUCUAAUUCCUCUCACUCUGUGUGUGAUGAUGGUGCUAUAGGUUAUUGUACUGACCAUGAAUCUAGUUCCCAUCAUGACUUAGAAGGUGCUGUAGGCGGCUACCACCCAGAACCCAGUAAGCUUUGUCACUUGGAUCAAAGUGAUUCUGAUUUCCAUGGAGAUCUUACAUUUCAACACGUAUUUCAUAACCACACUUACCACUUACAGCCAAGUGCACCAGAAUCUACUUCUGAACCUUUUCCUUGGCCUGGGAAGUCACAGAAGAUAAGGAGUAGAUACCCUGAAGACACAGACAGAAACUUGAGCCGUGAUGAACAGCGUGCUAAAGCUUUGCAUAUCCCUUUUUCUGUAGAUGAAAUUGUCGGCAUGCCUGUUGAUUCUUUCAAUAGCAUGUUAAGUAGAUAUUAUCUGACAGACCUACAAGUCUCACUUAUCCGUGACAUCAGACGAAGAGGGAAAAAUAAAGUUGCUGCGCAGAACUGUCGUAAACGCAAAUUGGACAUAAUUUUGAAUUUAGAAGAUGAUGUAUGUAACUUGCAAGCAAAGAAGGAAACUCUUAAGAGAGAGCAAGCACAAUGUAACAAAGCUAUUAACAUAAUGAAACAGAAACUGCAUGACCUUUAUCAUGAUAUUUUUAGUAGAUUAAGAGAUGACCAAGGUAGGCCAGUCAAUCCCAACCACUAUGCUCUCCAGUGUACCCAUGAUGGAAGUAUCUUGAUAGUACCCAAAGAACUGGUGGCUUCAGGCCACAAAAAGGAAGCCCGAAAGAGAAAGUGAGAAGAAACUGAAGAUGGACUCUAUUAUGUGAAGUAGUAAUGUUCAGAAACUGAUUAUUUGGAUCAGAAGCAUUGAAACUGCUUCAAGAAUUGUAUCUUUAAGUACUGCUACUUGAAUAACUCAGUUAACGCUCUAUUUUGAAGCUUACAUGGACAAAUGUUUAGGACUUCAAGAUCACACUUGUGGGCAAUCUGGGGGAGCCACAACUUUUCAUGAAGUGCAUUGUAUACAAAAUUCAUAGUUAUGUCCAAAGAAUAGGUUAAACAUGAAAACCCAGUAAGACUUUCCAUCUUGGCAGCCAUCCUUUUUAAGAGUAAGUUGGUUACUUCAAAAAGAGCAAACACUGGGGAUCAAUUUUAAGAGGUAUUUCAGUUUUAAAUGCAAAAUAGCCUUAUUUUCAUUUAGUUUCUUAGCACUAUAGUGAGCUUUUCAAACACUAUUUUAAUCUUUAUAUUUAACUUAUAAGUUUUGCUUUCUAUGGAAAUAAAUUUUGUAUUUGUAUUAAAAAUUAACUUUUCCCUUUUAUACAGAA
This 2250-nucleotide small RNA is filed under the name Pan troglodytes (chimpanzee). RNAcentral describes it as "retained intron". The record is from RNAcentral. Lineage: Eukaryota; Metazoa; Chordata; Mammalia; Primates; Hominidae.